CACGCUGUAAACGAUGAUCACUAGACGUCGGUUUUGCGUUGCAAAAUCGGUGUCGUAGCUAACGCGAUAAGUGAUCCGCCUGGGGAGUACGGUCGCAAGACUAAAACUCAAAGAAAUUGACGGGGGUCCGCACAAGCGGUGGAACAUGUGGUUUAAUUCGACACUACGCGAGGAACCUUACCUAGGCUUGACAUUCUUUUGACAGCUACGGAAACGUAGUCUUCCAAGCUUGCUUGGACAAUUGAACAGGUGC
RNAcentral lists this ribosomal RNA (253 nucleotides) under uncultured bacterium. RNAcentral describes it as "partial 16S ribosomal RNA". It matches the Rfam family "Bacterial small subunit ribosomal RNA", at positions 796 to 1041 of the family's 1533-position model. The record is from RNAcentral.